GAGAGACUGAUAAGGAUUGGAUUUUCAACUGUCAUUGUCUCUCUGAAUCUGACCUUGGGUCCUGGAGGCUGACAUUUUCCCUGGCUCUUCUUGUGUUUCCUGUGAAAACUUGGGAAUACCAGGUUGGCAAUUGGGAAAGAGAGUUUGGCAGUGGCUGGAGUGAGAAGACUGAUAGAAAGAAGAACAAAGACCUUUUUCUCUGAUCUCUGUGGGAUGGCAGAGUGAAGGCAAGGCUCUGGGUCUAUCCAGGCUGGGAAACCACCCCUGCCUCAACUAGACUCAACCUUGACUAGUCUAGCAGUGCAGUAGAGACUGGAAGAACAUUUGGAGACAGUAUUUUUGAGAAUUAUAUAUUUUUGUAAGGACAUUAGAAAUAGGUUUAUAUAGAUAGAAAUUUGGUUUAGUUAGAGUUAAGGAGAGAGAGAGCAUGUCUGGGAUUUUCAGAUGGAAGUGAUUCUCGUGAGAAGCCUUGAGUUGGGUGUGGUUGGAGGUAGUACCCCUUAUUAGACUUAGGGAACCCCUAUUCUUGAUUCCUGUUACAACUAUCCUUAUAUUCCUUCAACCUUUAAGAUAGUAAACAGAGGUUUACUUUGUACAUCUGUCUCCUAGACGUUUUACUGCCAGCCAAUUUUACUAGGUCCAAAACCUAUCAAUCGCUCACCUCAGUUUAUAAGGCCAGCUGCCCCCCAUUUUUUAUCAACAACAAUUUACAAAGGCUAAUAGAUAGUUUCAAAUAAUUCUAUACAGUGUUACAAAAUGUCCAUAACAGUAGUCUCCCCAGCUGCCCCCAAAGUCAUUGAGAGGAAGUAUGGUACAAUGGAAAGAGCAAUGGACUACAAGUUGGAAAACCUGGAUUGAUUCGCUGAAUGAAGAUUCCCUGCCCCCUCAUCUUCUGAAUGACUGGGGUGAUUGCGACAGCAGAACAUUGGUGAUUCAUUUCAACUAGCCUUUUCCAUUAGAGGAGAGAAGACUUAUCCAGCUUGCAGUCACCACUGACUAAUGCCAGAGGAUGCAGAGGUGAGUCACUAUCAGUGUUGGUGCCAUGAUGCUGAUGCUAGC
RNAcentral lists this long non-coding RNA (1059 nucleotides) under Monodelphis domestica (gray short-tailed opossum). RNAcentral describes it as "lncRNA (ENSMODG00000047614.1)". The record is from RNAcentral. Lineage: Eukaryota; Metazoa; Chordata; Mammalia; Didelphimorphia; Didelphidae.